GGAGGGAUGGCCGAGCGGUUAAAGGCGACGGACUGUAAAUCCGUUCUCAUUGAGUACGCAGGUUCGAAUCCUGCUCCCUCCACCA
Molecule: transfer RNA, 85 nt
Filed under: Kordiimonadales bacterium
Lineage: Bacteria; Pseudomonadati; Pseudomonadota; Alphaproteobacteria; Kordiimonadales
Description: tRNA-Tyr
Rfam family: tRNA
About the family: Transfer RNA (tRNA) molecules are approximately 80 nucleotides in length. Their secondary structure includes four short double-helical elements and three loops (D, anti-codon, and T loops).
Source: RNAcentral